Long non-coding RNA from Ornithodoros turicata, 2192 nucleotides. RefSeq lists it as uncharacterized. The record is from RefSeq and is a predicted model, not a curated record. Lineage: Eukaryota; Metazoa; Arthropoda; Arachnida; Ixodida; Argasidae. The transcript has 2 exons.
UGAGGCCACGCACAUCUUUCCGCUGGGACAUCCCAUCAUCGCCGGUCAGGACUCGUGUAGAUGAAUACCACCUCCUCUACAUUUGGUGACCCGAACAACGAACACCAUGUUCGGCGUAAUUCGGCCACUCAACAUCCUAAAUUUUUCGGUAAACCAGUAGCGAACCAGCCUCUAGCAGGCAAGGCGCACCGGGACCAUUGUUCCACCGGGGACCCGCAGGGAGACCACAGUAACCUGACUUUCCGGCCUCCACCUGCUUCACGAUGGUCCUCCCCGGCACUUGUCAUCUAUAAACAACUCAAGAUUGACAAAGAAAGGUACCUUACACUGCACCAUACGAGACAGCUGCGAGGUAAUCAUUCCUUGUCCUUCAAGCCCCUUUUCCUUUAAUAAUCAAACAUUCAAAUACUCCUUCUUCCCUAGAACGAUAUUGGAGUGGAACAGCCUUAGCUCCGAUAUUACUAACGCCCGUGUCGUUACGUUACGUCGCUACUAACGUGUCGAUACGUUCACAGCUGCCCUCAAGUAAGUAGCCUGCUAUAUUAGACGGUUGUUACAUGAUGUUCAAAUCAAUUCCCAAUUUAUUAAUUAAUAUGACGUAGGACCUCAUCUCACUAUUAGCUGUUUUGUGCUUAAUGCUGCUCAUCUCUUUCUUUCUAUAUUGAUCAUUGUGUAUGAUGUAUUUUGCUUGAUGUGUUGUGUGUAUGAUCUUGCUCGUACCUGUGAUGGUCCCGUUGGGACCAACAGUGUGCUGAAAUAAAUAAAUAAAUACAUAAAUAAGUCCUGCCACUUUUAGCUAUGUUUGCCAAAAUACACUCUUAAACCCGUACCUUUUAUUGUAACUUUUAGAAACAUGUAACUUCUGUAUAGACGUAGAUUUCGAGAUUUCUUAUAGGUUACACCACUGUAACGUAUAUUUAGAGGUUAAAAGCGACCAAAGUCAUGUCUUUACAACACGAAUAGAAGUUACAUCUAGGAAAAAACAAAAACAUCUUGUUGUAACUUAUAAAUGUACCCUCUACUCCGACACUGUAACUUCUAAGCGAAAUCUCCAACGAUAAUCUCUUUGUUAGUUUCUUAUCGUUUGUUUUCCUUUUGUUUUUCAGCAUAAUGCCGCGUUUCAGCCUCCCAUUCGAGACGACAGUUGCGAAUCUACGCUGUUAUUUUUUAUCUGUUUCAGCGUCACCUAUACGUCAACUACAUGUUAUCAAUGCUGUAUGAACACAGAUUAUAAGUUCGCAGUCUGAAAUACAGAUAGUAUGUUUCUUUUUAAAGGGUGGAAAACAAUUGUCAAUGCCGCAACCACCAAGAUUUCCGAUUUCGCUGCGUAGCCGAGCCUGGUCUAGGUCUAUCCACACUGAGAGCGGUUUCCUUGAAACGCUUAACGCUCGUCGUCCGUUCGUUAACAAGUGUAAUCUGUUUUAAUCAGUGGUUUUCCUCGCGUUUAUCAUAGUAUCGUCAGGAACACCGGAAAAGCUAGAUGUCGCUAGCAAACAAGUAUAUUUUCGGUGUUCUGAGGGGAAAGUGUAGUGAGUGCGAAGAUUGCAAAGAAUAUAUAACCGAAAACGAACGUCACCACCGCAGCCCUAAUUCACACACUUCAUACACUGGGUAAGUGUACAUUUUGUGCUAGGUACGUGCGUUAUUUUGAUAGCAAGAGCUCUUAGCGCAUGUUUGUUGUGAUUAUGGCAAGCGUUUUGCGGCCCUGCAUAUGAACGCCACUUACGCUUGCUACUUUUCUGCUCUUACUUGGUCGCCAAGUCAAUACACCGGCGUGCAUUUUGCGAGCUGCGGAUAUAUGCAUCGAGAUAUAUAAUUCGCAGCUUCCUACUUGUUGUAUUCUUACGAUAUUCUAAGACUCAAUCGCGGAGUGAACGCCUUCCCGCAUUUAUGCUGAUUUGUACCUUGUGCUUUGUACGAAUUUGAAUGGUUCCGUAAAUGUUACUCUCAUUGCCCAAACUUUUGUUCCCAGGAUCCCACAUGCAGGUUCACAUACCGUCACCAGCGCAAUGCAGUACCUCACAAACUCGUCCCAGAGCGCCUCCAACGCUGAUAACGCAGUAAUGUAGUGUCACCUGCGUUACUGUACACUCAUAUUCCUCAAGGUUGUGUGCGUUUUAUGUAAUACUGUAUUGCCAUUUGCGCUCGCCUCUGCAACACGAAUGUGGAAUAAAUUUUUUUCUGCUGCAAUU